UACAGAGGGGGCAAGCGUUGCUCGGAAUUACUGGGCGUAAAGCGCACGUAGGCGGCUUCUUAAGUCGGUGGUGAAAUCCUGGAGCUCAACUCCAGAACUGCCUUCGAUACUGGGAAGCUCGAGUCCGGGAGAGGUGAGUGGAACUGCGAGUGUAGAGGUGAAAUUCGUAGAUAUUCGCAAGAACACCAGUGGCGAAGGCGGCUCACUGGCCCGGUACUGACGCUGAGGUGCGAAAGCGUGGGGAGCAAACAGG
This 253-nucleotide ribosomal RNA is filed under the name uncultured bacterium. Its description in RNAcentral is "partial 16S ribosomal RNA". It matches the Rfam family "Bacterial small subunit ribosomal RNA", at positions 524 to 776 of the family's 1533-position model. The record is from RNAcentral.